GCUGAAACCUUGGCAGUCCAUGCCUUUCAUCUGCCCAGAUUAUUGAUGAUUCUGGAGCUUCAUUCGGCAAGAGCCUAGGGGAGUUAUACCUGUUAUCAGGUGAUUCUAUUGAGUCGCGCCACCACUCAUCGUUGCUUUCAUCUCCAGUGUUUUCAUCAGGAGACAUCGCAUCUCUAGUCUCAAUAACAUAGUCACCAACUAUUAUUGCCCCAGGAUUCUGUGACCUAAUUGCACUUAUGACAUCACCAACCUCCUGUUCACGCUCAAGGCGAUCCCAAGUCCUUUUCCUCGAAAGAUCCACAUGUGCAGGCUU
This 313-nucleotide long non-coding RNA is filed under the name Oryza sativa (Asian cultivated rice). RNAcentral's name for it is "long non-coding RNA (OSAT_LNC001329)". Lineage: Eukaryota; Viridiplantae; Streptophyta; Magnoliopsida; Poales; Poaceae. The record is from RNAcentral.